GCCACACACCUAAGGAGAGUUUGGGUUAUUUCCCUAACCUUUUGCUUUUUUAUUUUUUCUUUAUAUUUAUUAGGAUCACAUUCCAUAACAGCUCAAAAACCAUGGAGAACUUGUCACGACCUAAAGUUUAAGGAUUUUAUUACAGACUUGGCAUGAUCAUCUAAGAGGGCCACUGAGUGACUGACACAGACACAUUUUCAUCCCAGGGGAGACUACGGUAAUGAAGCCUCCAUAAAAACCCCAAAGGACUGGGGACGCCCCAUGCUGAAUGCGCAGAUGUGCAGAUGAGCUGAGUGUGUGCCCGGAGAAAACUGGGAAGCUCCGCGCACUCGCCCCAUGCGUCUCUCCCGUCCGGCCCAUGCCCGAGUCAUGAAAGUAAAUCAAAGCUCUUUUGGUGUGAAUAAUGGCCUGGAAGAGGUCAUUGUAUUACCUAUUCAUGAGACUCAUUUGACAUCUGAGGCCACGGAGGAGUGAGAAGAUGAGAAAGAGGAUUUCUAGAACAGCAGAACGCAGCGGUGAAGGGCCCUCCUUUCCAAUCCCAGUUCUACACUUGUCCAUUGUAUGACCUUGGGUAAGUCACUUAACCUCUCUGACUCCGUUUCUUGACACUUCAAAAAUGGGGGAACCAAUGAUCACUACCUAGAGUCGUGGGUGUUGGGUCAGAUGAUGCAUGUAGAUGGUUAGGACGGGGCCUGUCACUCUUCUCUAGCAACAGCUCAACGGCCUAACUGGUUUCUAACCAAGGACACUGAAUCCAUCAGGAUACCUUCAACCAUAAAACCAAAGAUCCAAUUAAACACAAUUUAGGCCAGUAGGG
This 817-nucleotide long non-coding RNA is filed under the name Mustela putorius furo (domestic ferret). Its description in RNAcentral is "lncRNA (ENSMPUG00000024757.1)". Lineage: Eukaryota; Metazoa; Chordata; Mammalia; Carnivora; Mustelidae. The record is from RNAcentral.